This 61-nucleotide microRNA precursor is filed under the name Drosophila simulans. RNAcentral's name for it is "Dsi-Mir-96-P2_pre stem-loop". It matches the Rfam family "mir-263 microRNA precursor family", at positions 12 to 76 of the family's 86-position model. Lineage: Eukaryota; Metazoa; Arthropoda; Insecta; Diptera; Drosophilidae. The record is from RNAcentral.
CUUGGCACUGGGAGAAUUCACAGUUGACUUGAUUAUUCUGUGGUUCUGCGGGUGCCAAAAC